GUGGGGAAUAUUGGACAAUGGGCGCAAGCCUGAUCCAGCAAUGCCGCGUGGGUGAAGAAGGUCUUCGGAUCGUAAAGCCCUUUCGACAGGGACGAUGAUGACGGUACCUGUAGAAGAAGCCCCGGCUAACUUCGUGCCAGCAGCCGCGGUAAUACGAAGGGGGCUAGCGUUACUCGGAAUUACUGGGCGUAAAGGGCGCGUAGGCGGCUCUGUUAGUCAGGCGUGAAAUUCCUGGGCUUAACCUGGGGACUGCGCUUGAUACUGCAGGGCUUGAGGCCGAGAGAGGGUGGUGGAAUUCCCAGUGUAGAGGUGAAAUUCGUAGAUAUUGGGAAGAACACCGGUGGCGAAGGCGACCACCUGGCUCGGUUCUGACGCUGAGGCGCGACAGCGUGGGGAGCAAACAGGAUUAGAUACCCGAGUAGUCC
RNAcentral lists this ribosomal RNA (425 nucleotides) under uncultured bacterium. RNAcentral's name for it is "bacterial SSU rRNA". It matches the Rfam family "Bacterial small subunit ribosomal RNA", at positions 354 to 796 of the family's 1533-position model. The record is from RNAcentral.